GAUAACUCCUCCACCCUGAUAAUUCCUCCUCCUCCAUCUCUCUAGGGUUUAAGUGAAUUUCCUGAUUCAAGAAAUAAGUCCAAACUCCAAACUGGUUUACGUGAAUUUCCCAUUUGUUUGAGCGACAACUCUCUCCUCUCUUGCUUGAUUGAAGAAAAAGGAUCCAAGAAAGCUGAACGUAAGGGUGAUUGAGAACCAUGGAAGGGGAUUGAAGAAGAAAGAAAACGUAUCUGGGAUUUGGGGAUUCAAGAAAACACAAUUAAGAGUGAUUGAAAACCAUAGAAGGGUAUUGCAGAAGAAAGAAAACGGGAUUUGGGGAUUCAAGAAAACUUAGUUAAGAGUGCUUGACAACCAUUGAAGGCUAUUGAAGAAGAAAGCGGGAUUUAAGAAAUCGUAAUCAACUCCUUCUCUCUAUCUUGCCGGUUUACUGAACAAGAAACUUGUUUGGGGUUUAAGAAAACUUCCGUUAAUAUUGUUCACUCCCUCACCCUCUCUCUAUCUUGCCGGUUGGUUGAAGAAGACUUCUCUGUGGUUUGAAAAACAGGAUGAUCUACAAAGAUUGGAACAGAAUCUAUCGCGUGUAGAAGCACUCAUAAAAAGAAGUGAAUUACAAACUAGGUAUGAGACCGACAAAAAGGAGCUCCAGGAUGCUAGAGAUGAAUUGUUAGAAGCACAGACGAAGACCCGCGAUAGAUUAGAUUCUACUCAAAAUUGGUCUCUAGGAAUUUUUGUUUUUCUUGUCACGUUCAAUGGUUUAUUUUAUGCACACUUACCAACAGCGGGGCAUAUGAAUUGGUUCGAGUUUUUGAUGAUUACGGAACACAAGAUAGACACCGUUGAGGAAGAAGGAGAGGCUUUGGACGAAAAAUUUGAACUAUUGAAAGAGACCUUUUUUGGAUUGUCUGCAACAAGUGAAGAAAGAAAUGCUGAACUCCUUGAGCUCGUGCACAAUUCCGAAAAAUACAAGGAUAGGGUACAAGUGAAGAGAAGAUAAAAUACAGAGUCGCUGCUGGUGAUAAUUAUGAUCCGUUGAGAUUAGCUCCCACUCUACACCACAAAGAUUAGCUCCCACAGGGUAAGCCCUAGAAUUUUGAGAGUGAGAGUUUGAUUUUGACAUACUGUCCCAGCCGAAGAUUUCUUUUAUUUAUCGGCAUAGUUGUCUUUCCGUUACGGGACCGCGUGCUCAAAAGCGAGGAGGGAUCGCCUCAUAUCUACUUUAGUGGAUUCCCAAUGCAUUUUACAGGGUAGGGGACGCUUGGUUUGAAACAAGGAAAGUUUGCGAGAAAAAGUACUUCGACUUGGUAUAAUCAGGGAAAGGUUAGGAUGUGCAUCAAAAUCAGAGGUCAAAAUAUGAUGGGUUGACAAGUGAAGAGAAGAUCUCCGCAAUUGAGUUGAGAAGGUUUAAAAGCAUCCCACUAAAGAGCAUCGCCUCAACAAAAUAUUCAAAGUUUGAAAGCAUUCCACUGAAUAACCUCGCCUCAAUGCCAUCUAGAACUUACUUGAACACUAUGUAUGCGUUUACUAUAAUGAGUGAUGUUUUCAUGUUCUGGGUCUCAAUAUGGGCACUAUGCCAGGCUGCCCCAAAGUGAUGGUUGGUUAAAGCACAAUGCUCCUAUGCUGUAGCUGUCCUUUACAUUCUAUUUUCUCUUGUGCUACAUUUACAUUCUAUUUCUCUUGCAUUUGCAAGUAGAUAUGUAUCUGUUGUAACAAUUUGUUUCCCUUGGAUUUGAAAGUAGAUGCAACUGGUUUAACACUAUGUUUUCAGUACUACUUAUGUUUUUUUUCUAUUCAGAAAUUUCCUU
This is a long non-coding RNA of Papaver somniferum (opium poppy), 1802 nucleotides long. RefSeq lists it as uncharacterized. The record is from RefSeq and is a predicted model, not a curated record. Lineage: Eukaryota; Viridiplantae; Streptophyta; Magnoliopsida; Ranunculales; Papaveraceae. The transcript has 7 exons.